GACGAACGCUGGCGGCGUGCUUAACACAUGCAAGUCGAACGGAAAGGCCCUGCUUUUGUGGGGUGCUCGAGUGGCGAACGGGUGAGUAACACGUGAGUAACCUGCCCUUGACUUUGGGAUAACUUCAGGAAACUGGGGCUAAUACCGGAUAGGAGCUCCUGCUGCAUGGUGGGGGUUGGAAAGUUUCGGCGGUUGGGGAUGGACUCGCGGCUUAUCAGCUUGUUGGUGGGGUAGUGGCUUACCAAGGCUUUGACGGGUAGCCGGCCUGAGAGGGUGACCGGCCACAUUGGGACUGAGAUACGGCCCAGACUCCUACGGGAGGCAGCAGUGGGGAAUAUUGCACAAUGGGCGGAAGCCUGAUGCAGCAACGCCGCGUGCGGGAUGACGGCCUUCGGGUGGUAAACCGCUUCCGCCUGUGACGAAGCGUGAGUGACGGUAAUGGGUAAAGAAGCACCGGCUAACUACGU
RNAcentral lists this ribosomal RNA (467 nucleotides) under uncultured bacterium. RNAcentral's name for it is "partial 16S ribosomal RNA". It matches the Rfam family "Bacterial small subunit ribosomal RNA", at positions 28 to 506 of the family's 1533-position model. The record is from RNAcentral.